This 301-nucleotide ribosomal RNA is filed under the name uncultured bacterium. RNAcentral's name for it is "partial 16S ribosomal RNA". It matches the Rfam family "Bacterial small subunit ribosomal RNA", at positions 509 to 808 of the family's 1533-position model. The record is from RNAcentral.
CAGCCGCCGCGGUAAUACGAAGGGGGCUAGCGUUACUCGGAAUUACUGGGCGUAAAGGGCGCGUAGGCGGCACGAUUAGUCAGGCGUGAAAUUCCUGGGCUCAACCUGGGGACUGCGCUUGAUACGGUCGAGCUAGAGGAUGGAAGAGGGUCGUGGAAUUCCCAGUGUAGAGGUGAAAUUCGUAGAUAUUCGGAAGAACACCAGUGGCGAAGGCGGCUUACUGGCUCAUUCUAGACGCUGAGGUGCGAAAGCGUGGGGAGCAAACAGGAUUAGAUACCCGCGUAGUCCCGUCUCUUAUACA